RNAcentral lists this ribosomal RNA (497 nucleotides) under uncultured bacterium. Its description in RNAcentral is "partial 16S ribosomal RNA". It matches the Rfam family "Bacterial small subunit ribosomal RNA", at positions 28 to 507 of the family's 1533-position model. The record is from RNAcentral.
GAUGAACGCUGGCGGCGUGCCUAAUACAUGCAAGUCGAGCGAACGGACGAGAAGCUUGCUUUUCUGAUGUUAGCGGCGGACGGGUGAGUAACACGUGGAUAACCUACCUAUAAGACUGGGAUAACUUCGGGAAACCGGAGCUAAUACCGGAUAAUAUUUUGAACCGCAUGGUUCAAAAGUGAAAGACGGUCUUGCUGUCACUUAUAGAUGGAUCCGCGCUGCAUUAGCUAGUUGGUAAGGUAACGGCUUACCAAGGCAACGAUGCAUAGCCGACCUGAGAGGGUGAUCGGUCACACUGGAACUGAGACACGGUCCAGACUCCUACGGGAGGCAGCAGUAGGGAAUCUUCCGCAAUGGGCGAAAGCCUGACGGAGCAACGCCGCGUGAGUGAUGAAGGUCUUCGGAUCGUAAAACUCUGUUAUUAGGGAAGAACAUAUGUGUAAGUAACUGUGCACAUCUUGACGGUACCUAAUCAGAAAGCCACGGCUAACUACGUG